CAGCUGGGUGACACUGGGCAGGUGGGUCUCUCGUUUCAAGCAGGUGGGCUGGAGAUGAGGGGAAUCUGUCGCCCUGUGGGGAGAUGAACAACGUGCUGGCUAUGCCUGGGCUGACCCAGAGUGUCCUUGGCAAACAGCAGCCAGGGAGCCGGUCGGGGGAGUCAUUCUGGUGAUGGGACCCUCGGAGGGCCUCGAAGGCAGCCAGCCGGCCUGCGGAACCCAGACCCCCUUCAGCUCCGAGACCCUGCCUUGAUGAGGGUCCCUUAGCCUGUGAGGGCCCGUCCUGGGUUCCGCACACGCCUUAUCUACUCAGGAUGGAGGCCACCCUGGGGCGUGUUCUAGCUCCCCUCAACUGGGUCCAAGUAAAAUCAUGGGGUCACUCCCUGUUCGUUUAUUUCUGGAAAUAAUACCCAUGAGGGGAUCUGCCUGGAGCUCCAGGUGCCUCAGCUGGGGUCGUGUUGGUGCCUGUGGGCUCCUGGCUGGGGCCUCACUUUGCUUCUGCUCCUUCGCUUCCCCCAGCAUUCUCUCCUGGGCAGAACCUGCUCGGAGGCAACCCGGGACGGCUUUGACCAUUGAUAUCAGAUGGACUUGACGCUGUGCCACACCUGAGCCCUGAGAACCUGGAGGGUCCCCCUCCUGCUCUGGGCUCUGAUGCCACCAAAGUCGUCUGAGCCCUGGAGAGGCCAUGUGGAGGGCAACCCGCUGAGCCUGGCCUUGUACCUGGCCAGCCAAGAUUCCGACCCACAGACUGCACACUGAAGUGAUUGGGCCAGUGUGUCACCUGUGGCAGACAGGUCAUCCAGGACACCUCGCCGCCCACGGCCGCUGCGAAAGCAGGACUCCUGUUGGACCAGGACUCGUAAAACGCAUGUGAAGUUUGAUGUUCCGUCAUCUCAGGUCCCCCGACCCCCCUCCUGCCCCUGCGGGGCCCCAGCCCAGCCCAGCUUCCCGGGCCUCCCCCCGCCUCCCCUGUCCACACAGCCACCGGCUUCAGCGGCUUCCGCUUCGUCCUGGGGACACAGCGGCUCUGGCCGUGCCCCCGCCUCCGAGGCUGCUCCCCCACCUGCCAGGGUGGUGAGCACCCCUCAGUCUACCAGAGGCCUUGCCAGAGGCUCGCUGCGUGGGUGAAGCCUUCUCGAGCAGGACAGCCCACGAGGCUGGAGGGCCCCGUGCUCCUACCGCCUGGCCCGGGGGGCCUAGAGUCCUGGGGUGCCCGGCGUGGGGGGGCAUCCGUGUGCCUGCCAGGACCCCGCACCGGCCCUCAGCUUCCCUGUGCCGCGGCUUCCUCCCCUGGAAUACGGGCUUCUGGCUAAGGCCGCUGCUGAGAAAAUCCAUGUCAAGAGCCUGGUCCU
This is a long non-coding RNA of Canis lupus familiaris (dog), 1352 nucleotides long. RefSeq lists it as uncharacterized. Lineage: Eukaryota; Metazoa; Chordata; Mammalia; Carnivora; Canidae. The transcript has 3 exons. The record is from RefSeq and is a predicted model, not a curated record.